Molecule: ribosomal RNA, 237 nt
Filed under: Verrucomicrobiota bacterium
Lineage: Bacteria; Pseudomonadati; Verrucomicrobiota
Description: Verrucomicrobia bacterium partial 23S ribosomal RNA
Rfam family: Bacterial large subunit ribosomal RNA
Source: RNAcentral
UAGUACGAGAGGACCGGGUCUGACGAACCGCUGGUGUUCCAGUUGUUCUGUCAAGAGCAGUGCUGGGUAGCUAUGUUCGGAAAGGAUAAGCGCUGAAAGCAUCUAAGCGCCAAGCCUAUCCCAAGAUGAGUUCUCCCUGAAGGGUCGUGGUAGACCACCACGUUGAUAGGUUACUGGUGUAAGUGCAGUAAUGUAUUUAGCUAAGUAAUACUAAUAACCCGUUCGGCUUGAUCAUUU